Molecule: ribosomal RNA, 276 nt
Filed under: uncultured bacterium
Lineage: Bacteria
Description: partial 16S ribosomal RNA
Rfam family: Bacterial small subunit ribosomal RNA
Source: RNAcentral
UACGUAGAGUGCAAGCGUUGUCCGGAAUUAUUGGGCGUAAAGGGUACGCAGGCGGAUAGUAAAGUCAAGCGUGAAAGGUGUCGGCUUAACCGACAGACUGCGUUUGAAACUGAUUAUCUUGAGUGUAACAGAGGAGAGUGGAAUUCCUAGUGUAGUGGUGAAAUACGUAGAUAUUAGAAGAACACCAGUUGGCGAAGGCGACGUCUCUGGGGUUAACACUGACGCUGAGGUACGAAAGCUGGGGGAGCAAACGGGGAUUUAGAUACCCGCGUAGGU